Molecule: long non-coding RNA, 798 nt
Filed under: Anser cygnoides (Swan goose)
Lineage: Eukaryota; Metazoa; Chordata; Aves; Anseriformes; Anatidae
Description: lncRNA (ENSACDG00005014403.1)
Source: RNAcentral
AUGUCUUGUUUAGAUGAUGCACUAGAUAUUGUUCCUGAUUCUCAGCCAACAGGGAGAAGCAACAAACAUCCACUGCCUGGUCUUUUGGAAAGUUCUUCUGAUAAAAAAAGAACAUGGAAAAAAAGAGCGUGUUCUGUUCCUGAGAAGAAUAUAACAACUGGUGGCAGGCAAAAACUAAAUCUGACAUCAGGACCUACAUCCCAUUCAGUUCCUGUUUUUAACAAAAGAGAUGUGAAACAAAAUGUUUUUUAUUCAGUUUGUGGAAAUACCUCUCCAGAUAAACAAAUAAAUAAAAAAAGAGAAAAACAGCAGCAAAAUGGAAUUGAAAUCAGGAGGGAAGAAAACUGCAAAAUACUGAGUGGACAGUCAAAGAGCAUUAAUAAUUUGGAACUGAAACAGUUGAAUACAGAAAUUAAAAAUACUUCAACUACUGCUGAAACAUUUAAAACAUAUCUUUCAGCUAGAGUGUCAGAAACAUCUUUGCAUUCUGAUUUUACAAAAUACAGCAAUAUGGAAGAAGAAGCUGAUGUUCUCUCAGGAAAAGAGACUUCAAAUAAUAAACAGUCAAAAACGAAAAAAAAGUCUAAAGAAAUGACAGAUGCAACAAAAUCACUAAUUACUAAAAUCAGUGACAGAUAUAAAGAAAAGACUAACGAGAAAAGCAAAACAAGAGACUCCUCAGGUUUCAACAGACCAUGUUUAAGUAAAUCUUGUUUCAGUGUUAAUAAGGAAAAAGUUCAAAAUAGAAGCUUGAAAACUACUACUUUCCUUGAUACAACCGCUGGUCAUAUUUUGUAA